Molecule: unclassified non-coding RNA, 222 nt
Filed under: fungal sp.
Lineage: Eukaryota; Fungi
Description: partial internal transcribed spacer region
Rfam family: Eukaryotic small subunit ribosomal RNA (bases 1-46)
Source: RNAcentral
AAGUCGUAACAAGGUUUCCGUAGGUGAACCUGCGGAAGGAUCAUUACAGAGUUCAUGCCCGAAAGGGUAGACCUCCCACCCUUGUGUAUUAUUACUUUGUUGCUUUGGCGAGCUGCCUCCGGGCCUUGUAUGCUCGCCAGAGAAUACCAAAACUCUUUUUAUUAAUGUCGUCUGAGUACUAUAUAAUAGUUAAAACUUUCAACAACGGAUCUCUUGGUUCUG